CGCGUAAUGCAGCCUACCGACGGUAGCCAGUUCCAAGCCUGGGAAAAUGCAGAGGACGCG
RNAcentral lists this non-coding RNA (60 nucleotides) under unclassified sequences. The record is from RNAcentral.